CACUUCAUUGCAAGGACAAGUACAGAGACUUGCGGCCACCUGAAAAAGAAGCAUUUCUACUUCGUCUGUCACCGGUCUGGAAGUUAUGCUUCACAAGCUACAAGUAAACAAAAGCUGAAGCGGCCUUCAAGUGUCAAGUGUGGAAAAAGAUGUUUUGCGGCAAUGGCUGUGACUGAAGACAACACAGGUGUGUAUGUGGUUUUCCAAUUCAAGCACAGAGGCCACGACUUUGAACUGGGUCGUGUUUUUCUGUCCAAGUCGGAAAGAGCUGCUAUUGCUGACAAGCUGCGAGAAGGCGUGUCCAUGGAUGCAGUG
Molecule: long non-coding RNA, 315 nt
Filed under: Dermacentor andersoni
Lineage: Eukaryota; Metazoa; Arthropoda; Arachnida; Ixodida; Ixodidae
Description: uncharacterized LOC126544220
Source: RNAcentral